UACGUAGGGUGCGAGCGUUGUCCGGAAUUACUGGGCGUAAAGGGCGCGCAGGCGGCGGACCAAGUCAGGCGUGAAAGCCCCGGGCUCAACCUGGGAGGUGCGUCUGGGACUGGUUUGCUGGAGUUCGGGAGAGGAGCGUGGAAUUCCCAGUGUAGAGGUGAAAUUCGUAGAUAUUGGGAAGAACACCGGUGGCGAAGGCGGCGCUCUGGACCGAGACUGACGCUGAGGCGCGAAAGCGUGGGGAGCAAACAGG
This 253-nucleotide ribosomal RNA is filed under the name uncultured bacterium. RNAcentral's name for it is "partial 16S ribosomal RNA". It matches the Rfam family "Bacterial small subunit ribosomal RNA", at positions 524 to 776 of the family's 1533-position model. The record is from RNAcentral.